GUUAUAGGCGAGGCGAGAGAAACCUAAAAGUUCUUAAGAAGAAAUUGAGCUGUUCAUCUUCCAUUCAGGAUUCAAUCCAUUCAGGAAGAUCUCUCAGACACAAUGAAUCCAGGUAACUCUAUAAAUAUUCAUAUGAUUCUAUUAUGUGAUUAACCUAGAUGUUUAAAGAUCUUAGGGUUCAUGUAAACUUAACUUACAUGUGGUAUCAGAGCAUGGUUAUGAACAUCUCUUUAAUCCAUUAAGAAUAAUAGAUCUAUGAACUUGAUAAUUGAAAUUGAUAGAUCUGAGUAUUAAGAUUUCUAGAUCUGCUUAUGAGUUUUAUUUUCGUAUGUGUGCGAAACUUGUGCAUCUGAAAUAAUUAUUUUUCCAAUGUGCACACACAUUAUUGGUGGUUGGAUUUAUGAUAACAGAAUGAGUCUUUCGUUAAAGACAUUAAAGAGACCAUUACGAUACUCAUACUUAUGUUUAUGGUCUAACUAUGAAGGUGGUCAAUGCGGUAAUACAUGGAAGAGAUUAUGUUGCAGAAUGAUGUGCGACCGCCAUGACUCUCAUUGAUUACUAGAUUAGUCAAAACACUUAUGAUGACCAAACGAAAAAUAAAGUUAUAGCAUAUUAUGCCGACAUUAUGAUUCCAUAAAGAAAACAUUAGUGGAUCUUACUAACGACUAAGUAGGAG
This 676-nucleotide long non-coding RNA is filed under the name Brassica rapa (field mustard). RNAcentral's name for it is "long non-coding RNA (BRAP_LNC000975)". Lineage: Eukaryota; Viridiplantae; Streptophyta; Magnoliopsida; Brassicales; Brassicaceae. The record is from RNAcentral.